AACGAACGCUGGCGGCAUGCCUAACACAUGCAAGUCGAACGAGACCUUCGGGUCUAGUGGCGCACGGGUGCGUAACGCGUGGGAACCUGCCCUUAGGUUCGGAAUAACUCCCCGAAAGGGGUGCUAAUACCGGAUAAUGUCUUCGGACCAAAGAUUUAUCGCCCUUGGAUGGGCCCGCGUUGGAUUAGCUAGUUGGUAGGGUAAAAGCCUACCAAGGCGACGAUCCAUAGCUGGUCUGAGAGGAUGAUCAGCCACACUGGGACUGAGACACGGCCCAGACUCCUACGGGAGGCAGCAGUGGGGAAUAUUGGACAAUGGGCGAAAGCCUGAUCCAGCACUGCCGCGUGAGUGAUGAAGGCCUUAGGGUUGUAAAGCUCUUUUACCCGGGAUGAUAAUGACAGUACCGGGAGAAUAAGCUCCGGCUAACUCCGU
This 432-nucleotide ribosomal RNA is filed under the name uncultured bacterium. RNAcentral's name for it is "partial 16S ribosomal RNA". It matches the Rfam family "Bacterial small subunit ribosomal RNA", at positions 29 to 506 of the family's 1533-position model. The record is from RNAcentral.